GACGAACGCUGGCGGCGUGCUUAACACAUGCAAGUCGAACGGAAAGGCCCUGCUUUUGUGGGGUGCUCGAGUGGCGAACGGGUGAGUAACACGUGAGUAACCUGCCCUUGACUUUGGGAUAACUUCAGGAAACUGGGGCUAAUACCGGAUAGGAGCGCCUGCUGCACGGUGGGGGUUGGAAAGUUUCGGCGGUUGGGGAUGGACUCGCGGCUUAUCAGCUUGUUGGUGGGGUAGUGGCUUACCAAGGCUUUGACGGGUAGCCGGCCUGAGAGGGUGACCGGCCACAUUGGGACUGAGAUACGGCGCAGACUCCUACGGGAGGCAGCAGUGGGGAAUAUUGCACAGUGGGCGGAAGCCUGAUGCAGCAACGCCGCGUGCGGGAUGACGGCCUUCGGGUUGUAAACCGCUUUCGCCUGUGACGAAGCGUGAGUGACGGUAAUGGGUAAAGAAGCACCGGCUAACUACGUG
This 468-nucleotide ribosomal RNA is filed under the name uncultured bacterium. RNAcentral's name for it is "partial 16S ribosomal RNA". It matches the Rfam family "Bacterial small subunit ribosomal RNA", at positions 28 to 507 of the family's 1533-position model. The record is from RNAcentral.